Molecule: long non-coding RNA, 2885 nt
Filed under: Homo sapiens (human)
Lineage: Eukaryota; Metazoa; Chordata; Mammalia; Primates; Hominidae
Description: HSALNT0089363
Source: RNAcentral
GAGAAAAGUUAGACAAUUCCUCCAAAUCACAAAGAUAAUUUGUUCAACUGAGAGAGUGCUUAACUCAGGAGAUCAAUAAAGGUUCAUAGAGGAAGAAGUAUUUGAAAUUGUCCUGGAAGAACAAUAUUUUUCAACAGGCAGAGAUGGAGAAAGGACAAUCUACAUGAACAGAACAGCAUGAGCAAAAAGAACUGGUUAGAGACUAUCCAUAGGAUAAAUUUCUAGCAAAUUGCUGAGUCCAGGAUAUGCAUGUUUGCAAUUUUGGAAGAUCUUAAAAACUUGCCUCCUAUAGGUGUUGUACCAGUAUAUACUUCUGCCAGUAAUAGAUGGGUGGGCUGCUGAUGCCUCAAAAUGUAAGUAUUUUCAAACUUUUAAAUUUUAGCCCAUUUAACAUAAUUUAAAAAUUAUGUCUCUGUGUGAUUUUAGUUCCAUUUCCCUUAUUAUAUAUAAGACUGAACAUCUUGGCAUAUGUUUAAGGGCCAUCUGCAUUUCCUUUUCUGUGCACUGUCAGCUUAUAUGCUUUGCCCAUUUUUUCUAGUAGAUGGUUAGUGUUUUUCUUAUUGAUUUGUAUAUAUUCUGUAUUACUCCUUUAUCACAUUGCCACAAAGAAAUGCCUGAGAUGGUGUCAUUUAUAGAGAAAAGAGGUUUAAUUGGCUCACAGUUCCACAGGCUAUACAGGAAGCAUGGCUGAGGAGGCCUCAGGAAACUUAACAAUCAUGGCAGAAGGUGAAGGGGAAGCAGGCACAUCUACACAUGGCCAGAGCAGGAGGAAGAGAGAGAAGGAAGAGGUGCUACACCCUUUUAAGCAACCAGAUCUUGUGAGAUCUCACUAUCGUGAGAAUAGCAAGGAGGAAAUCUGCCCCCAUGAUUCAGUCACCUCCUGCCAGACCCCUCCUCCAACAUUAGGGAUUACAAUUCGACACGAGAUUGCCGGUGGGACACAAAUCCAAACCAUAUCAUAUUCUUUAUACAUUUGGGAAAUUAACUUUUUUCUGUAAUAUGAUUUACAAAUAUUUUUCUCAGAUUGGCAUUUGUUUUUUGACUUUUCAUAUUGUGCAUUUUGCCAUGGGAAGUUUUUUUUGUCAUUAAAUUUACCUAUUCUUUCAUUCAUAUGGCUUCUGGGUCCUAUAUUAUACUUAGACCUUUACCAUUCUGAAAUUAUGUAAGAAAAAUUCUCUCAGGGUUUUUUCCUAGUAAUUUUAAGACUUUACUUUUAAUAUUUUGGAUUUAUCCAGAUGUAGACUAUAAGAUAAGGAUCCACAUUUUUUCCCCAGCUCUACAUUUUGCUGCUAGAAGAUUUUACAAAAUUUUGCAAUUACUUAGUAACUUACAUUUCUUCCCAAUUGAUUUUGAAAUCUGUAAGAGCAGAAACUUUGAUUUCAUAUUUUUAUUCUCUCACAUGCCUGCCCUUUAAUGCACUUCAACCCCAGCCCCAAGUUUUGCCUAGUACUUGGCAGUUAGGUAGUUGUUACUUCUGCAUCUCUUGACUGCUGGGGAGGAAAGAUUCCACCUGAGUUAAGGCAAGUCCUACCCAGGAUGUGGCUGCAAAUGAGACUGCAAAGUUCUCGACCGAUGUCUUUUCAUUAAACUCUGGCUUUUACCAAGUACAAGUACCAAGUGAGUCAUACCGACACAUGUAGAGGAUGGCAUCCUGAGGGGAAAAGAAUUAUAGUGGAAAUAACCAAGGCUGCUUGGAGAAAAGCUUCUCAGCUGGCACUGCAGAACAGCAGCCACUGCCACAGCAAACAGCAAAACAAUAACAAGCUUACUUGCAGAAGGUGGGAAGCUGCAGACGUAAAUGCAGGCUCCCUUCCCAGGCUACCAGCAGUCCCUGGGGAUGAAGUAGUCUAAAUGGGCAGCAGUUGUGGAGUCCUCCCCGCUCACAGGAAUGGAAGAUGUCACUCACUAGCAGAAGUGCUCUGGGGUGGCAAUGAGGAGUACUGUCUUUGGACUCUGACAGGAACAUCUGGAUGGCACCAGGCUCAGGGAGACGGGUCUUGUGUGUCCUGCUAAGCACUAACAGCAAUAAUUGAGCAGCAGCAAUCUGCCUCACAUCAUUCUAGGCCCUAGGAGGGCACAAAGUUGGUUCUUGGCUCAGGUUAUCAGGAAAGUAACGUAUGUGCGUACAAAUAAAGUGUCCAACAGCAGAAAGGGAUGCCCUGAACAGUCCAGGUUGCACAAAGGAGUAUGGACAAACAAGUAGUUUCAUCCAGCUGGGAGCACUAGGAAAGCUCAGAAGGAGGAUGCCUCCAGGAGCCAGUGAGUGUAUUCUGUCACCAGGUGCCUUGGAGAGUGGAGGAUCUGGAGGGCACUUUUUGAGGCUGAUAGGAAGAAAGCAGACGGGUGGAGUGGUAGAUGGAAUGACGCCCUCACCCUCUGCAAUGUUCACAUUCUAAUCCCUGAGAUAUGUGAAUAUGUUACUCUAGCUGACAAAAGGGACUUUGCAGAUGUGAUUAAGGAUUUUGAGCUGGGGAGGUGACUCUGAAUUACAUGAAUGGGCCCAGUAUAAUCACAAGGGUCCUUAUAAUAGGGAGACUGGAGUGUCAGAGUCACAGAUGAGCUGUGAUGAUGGACGCAGUGGUGAGAGAGAGAUGUGAAGAUGGAAGGAGAGGGCCAUGGGCCAAGGAAUGUGGGUGGUCUCUAAAAGCUGGAAAAGGCAAGAAAAUGGAUCCUCCCCUAGAGACUCCAGCAGGAACAAAACCCUGCUGACACCUUGACUGUAGGACUUCCAACCUCCAGAACUAUAAAAUAAUAAAUUCAUGUUGUUUUAAACCACUAAGAUUGUCGUAAUUUGUUACAACAGCCAUGGGAAAUGAGCACAGGUGGAUUAGACACUUCAAGAGAUGUAAUUUCUUUGUGUAAUUCUUUCUGGGAAGCUCCAUGAA